This 700-nucleotide ribosomal RNA is filed under the name Streptomyces sp. DRL412. Its description in RNAcentral is "bacterial SSU rRNA". It matches the Rfam family "Bacterial small subunit ribosomal RNA", at positions 69 to 785 of the family's 1533-position model. The record is from RNAcentral. Lineage: Bacteria; Bacillati; Actinomycetota; Actinomycetes; Kitasatosporales; Streptomycetaceae.
AUGAACCUCCUUCGGGAGGGGAUUAGUGGCGAACGGGUGAGUAACACGUGGGCAAUCUGCCCUGCACUCUGGGACAAGCCCUGGAAACGGGGUCUAAUACCGGAUACUGAUCAUCUUGGGCAUCCUUGGUGAUCGAAAGCUCCGGCGGUGCAGGAUGAGCCCGCGGCCUAUCAGCUUGUUGGUGAGGUAAUGGCUCACCAAGGCGACGACGGGUAGCCGGCCUGAGAGGGCGACCGGCCACACUGGGACUGAGACACGGCCCAGACUCCUACGGGAGGCAGCAGUGGGGAAUAUUGCACAAUGGGCGAAAGCCUGAUGCAGCGACGCCGCGUGAGGGAUGACGGCCUUCGGGUUGUAAACCUCUUUCAGCAGGGAAGAAGCGAAAGUGACGGUACCUGCAGAAGAAGCGCCGGCUAACUACGUGCCAGCAGCCGCGGUAAUACGUAGGGCGCGAGCGUUGUCCGGAAUUAUUGGGCGUAAAGAGCUCGUAGGCGGCUUGUCGCGUCGGUUGUGAAAGCCCGGGGCUUAACCCCGGGUCUGCAGUCGAUACGGGCAGGCUAGAGUUCGGUAGGGGAGAUCGGAAUUCCUGGUGUAGCGGUGAAAUGCGCAGAUAUCAGGAGGAACACCGGUGGCGAAGGCGGAUCUCUGGGCCGAUACUGACGCUGAGAGCGAAAGCGUGGGGAGCGACAGGAUUAGAUAC